GACGGAAGGUGCAAGCGUUGCUCGGAAUCACUGGGCGUAAAGCGCACGUAGGCGGCUUUCUAAGUCAGGGGUGAAAUCCUGGAGCUCAACUCCAGAACUGCCUUUGAUACUGGAGAGCUUGAGUCCGGAAGAGGUGAGUGGAACUCCGAGUGUAGAGGUGAAAUUCGUAGAUAUUCGGAAGAACACCAGUGGCGAAGGCGGCUCACUGGUCCGGUACUGGCGCUGAGGUGCGAAAGCGUGGGGAGCAAACAGG
RNAcentral lists this ribosomal RNA (253 nucleotides) under uncultured bacterium. RNAcentral describes it as "partial 16S ribosomal RNA". It matches the Rfam family "Bacterial small subunit ribosomal RNA", at positions 524 to 776 of the family's 1533-position model. The record is from RNAcentral.